AACAUUAUGAUGAACACGGACUGCUCAGUCUGACGAGAAUUUCAGAAGAUGAACGUAAAUGACUUCGAGAAUUUCUCCACUAAACCCAAUCCCAAAUAAGCGAUUUAAUCCACAAAACUUGAUCAGAUGAAGGGGAUUAAUAUUUGGCUUCUCACCUAGAGAACCACAGCGAGCACGACGCCGAAACUCCCGGCGUCUACUCCUUCUUCUCCGCCUCUUCACCUUUCCAUCAUCUCCGAUCCAACUCGCCACGAUCC
This 257-nucleotide long non-coding RNA is filed under the name Sorghum bicolor (sorghum). RNAcentral describes it as "long non-coding RNA (SBIC_LNC010177)". The record is from RNAcentral. Lineage: Eukaryota; Viridiplantae; Streptophyta; Magnoliopsida; Poales; Poaceae.